GACGAACGCUGGCGGCGUGCUUAACACAUGCAAGUCGAACGGUAAGGCCCUUUCGGGGGUACACGAGCGACGAACGGGCGAGUAACACGCAGGUGAUUUACCUUCCACUUUGGGAUAGGCCACGGCAACUAAGUCUAAUACAGACCAGGACUACGCGCUGCCUGCCGUGUGGUGGAAAGCUUUUGCGGUUGGGGAUGGGCCCGCGGCCUAUCAGCUUGUUGGUGGGGUGAUGGCUUACCAAGGCGACGACGGGUAGCCGGCCUGAGAGGGUGUCCGGCCACACUGGGACUGAGAUACGGCCCAGACUCCUACGGGAGGCAGCAGUGGGGAAUAUUGCACAAUGGGCGCAAGCCUGAUGCAGCGACGCCGCGUGGGGGAUGACGGCCUUCGGGUUGUAAACCCCUUUCAGCACAGACGAAGCGUAAGUGACGGUAAGGGCAGAAGAAGCACCGGCCAACUACGUG
RNAcentral lists this ribosomal RNA (464 nucleotides) under uncultured bacterium. RNAcentral's name for it is "partial 16S ribosomal RNA". It matches the Rfam family "Bacterial small subunit ribosomal RNA", at positions 28 to 507 of the family's 1533-position model. The record is from RNAcentral.